RNAcentral lists this ribosomal RNA (265 nucleotides) under uncultured prokaryote. Its description in RNAcentral is "partial 16S ribosomal RNA". It matches the Rfam family "Bacterial small subunit ribosomal RNA", at positions 524 to 788 of the family's 1533-position model. The record is from RNAcentral.
UACGUAGGUGGCGAGCGUUGUCCGGAUUUACUGGGCGUAAAGGGAGCGUAGGCGGACUUUUAAGUGAGAUGUGAAAUACCCGAGCUCAACUUGGGUGCUGCAUUUCAAACUGGAAGUCUAGAGUGCAGGAGAGGAGAAUGGAAUUCCUAGUGUAGCGGUGAAAUGCGUAGAGAUUAGGAAGAACACCAGUGGCGAAGGCGAUUCUCUGGACUGUAACUGACGCUGAGGCUCGAAAGCGUGGGGAGCAAACAGGGUUAGAUACCCU